CCUACGGGUGGCAGCAGUUGGGAAUCUUGGACAAUGGGGGAAACCCUGAUCCAGCCAUGCCGCGUGAGUGAUGAAGGCCUUCGGGUUGUAAAGCUCUUUUACCCGGGAAGAUAAUGACUGUACCGGGAGAAUAAGCUCCGGCUAACUUCGUGCCAGCAGCCGCGGUAAUACGAAGGGGGCUAGCGUUGUUCGGAAUUACUGGGCGUAAAGCGCGCGCAGGCGGCUUCUCAAGUCAGUGGUGAAAGCCCGGAGCUCAACUCCGGAAAUGCCAUUGAAACUGUGAAGCUUGAGGACGAGAGAGGUGAGUGGAAUUCCCAGUGUAGAGGUGAAAUUCGUAGAUAUUGGGAAGAACACCGGUGGCGAAGGCGGCUCACUGGCUCGUUUCUGACGCUCAGGCGCGACAGCGUGGGGAUCAAACAGGAUUAGAUACCCUAGUAGUC
Molecule: ribosomal RNA, 440 nt
Filed under: uncultured bacterium
Lineage: Bacteria
Description: bacterial SSU rRNA
Rfam family: Bacterial small subunit ribosomal RNA
Source: RNAcentral